CGCAGCCGCGGUAAUUCCAGCUCCAAUAGCGUAUAUUAAAGUUGUUGCAGUUAAAAAGCUCGUAGUUGAAUUUCGGGAUUAGUACGUUGGUCGUGCCUUAGGUACGUACUGGUGUUACUGGUUCCUACCUUCUGACGAACCAUCAUGUCAUUAAUUUGGUGUGGCGGGGAAUCAGGACUGUUACUUUGAAAAAAUUAGAGUGUUUAAAGCAGGCUCGCGCUUGAAUACAUUAGCAUGGAAUAAUGAAAUAGGACGUUGACCCUAUUUUGUUGGUUUCUAGGAUUGACGUAAUGAUUAAUAGGGAUAGUUGGGGGCAUUAGUAUUCAAUUGUCAGAGGUGAAAUUCUUGGAUUUAUUGAAGACUAACUACUGCGAAAGCAUUUGCCAAGGAUGUUUUCAUUAAUCAAGAACGAAAGUUAGGGGAAUCGAAGACGAUCAGAUACCGUCGUAG
RNAcentral lists this ribosomal RNA (450 nucleotides) under uncultured Glomeromycotina. RNAcentral describes it as "SSU rRNA". It matches the Rfam family "Eukaryotic small subunit ribosomal RNA", at positions 569 to 1023 of the family's 1831-position model. Lineage: Eukaryota; Fungi; Glomeromycota. The record is from RNAcentral.